RNAcentral lists this transfer RNA (73 nucleotides) under Streptomyces brasiliensis. Its description in RNAcentral is "tRNA-Ala". It matches the Rfam family "tRNA". Rfam says of the family: Transfer RNA (tRNA) molecules are approximately 80 nucleotides in length. Their secondary structure includes four short double-helical elements and three loops (D, anti-codon, and T loops). Lineage: Bacteria; Bacillati; Actinomycetota; Actinomycetes; Kitasatosporales; Streptomycetaceae. The record is from RNAcentral.
CCGGACGUAGCGCAGCGGCAGGCGCAUCGCCAUGGCAUGGCGACCACGCCGGUUCGAAUCCGGCCGUCCGGAC